This 406-nucleotide ribosomal RNA is filed under the name Verrucomicrobiota bacterium. RNAcentral's name for it is "Verrucomicrobia bacterium partial 16S ribosomal RNA". It matches the Rfam family "Bacterial small subunit ribosomal RNA", at positions 355 to 776 of the family's 1533-position model. The record is from RNAcentral. Lineage: Bacteria; Pseudomonadati; Verrucomicrobiota.
UGGGGAAUAUUGGGCAAUGGGCGAAAGCCUGACCCAGCAACGCCGCGUGAAGUAUGAAGGCCUUCGGGUUGUAAACUUCUUUGAUCAGGGAAGAAACAAAUGACGGUACCUGAAAAACAAGCCACGGCUAACUACGUGCCAGCAGCCGCGGUAAUACGUAGGUGGCGAGCGUUAUCCGGAUUUACUGGGCGUAAAGGGCGUGUAGGCGGCUAGAUAAGUGUGAUGUUUAAAUCCAAGGCUUAACCUUGGGGUUCAUUACAAACUGUUUAGCUUGAGUGCUGGAGAGGAUAGUGGAAUUCCUAGUGUAGCGGUAAAAUGCGUAGAUAUUAGGAGGAACACCGGUGGCGAAGGCGGCUAUCUGGACAGUAACUGACGCUGAGGCGCGAAAGCGUGGGGAGCAAACAGG